AUUGAACGCUGGCGGCAUGCUUUACACAUGCAAGUCGAACGGCAGCGCGGGCUUCGGCCUGGCGGCGAGUGGCGAACGGGUGAGUAAUACAUCGGAACGUGCCCAGUAGUGGGGGAUAGCUCGGCGAAAGCCGGAUUAAUACCGCAUCAGACCUGAGGGUGAAAGCGGGGGAUCUUCGGACCUCGCGCUAUUGGAGCGGCCGAUGGCAGAUUAGCUAGUUGGUGGGGUAAAGGCCUACCAAGGCGACGAUCUGUAGCUGGUCUGAGAGGACGACCAGCCACACUGGGACUGAGACACGGCCCAGACUCCUACGGGAGGCAGCAGUGGGGAAUUUUGGACAAUGGGCGAAAGCCUGAUCCAGCAAUGCCGCGUGUGUGAUGAAGGCCUUCGGGUUGUAAAGCACUUUUGGCGGGAACGAAAAGGACUGUGCCAAUACCACGGUUCGAUGACGGUACCCGCAGAAUAAGCACCGGCUAACUACGUG
This 484-nucleotide ribosomal RNA is filed under the name uncultured bacterium. RNAcentral describes it as "partial 16S ribosomal RNA". It matches the Rfam family "Bacterial small subunit ribosomal RNA", at positions 29 to 507 of the family's 1533-position model. The record is from RNAcentral.